AUACUUACCUGGAGGGGGAGACACCAUGAUCACAAAGGUAGUUUUCCCAAGGCAAAACAUGUCCAUUGCACUCCAGAUGUCGUGAACUCUAGGAUUUCCCAAAUGUGGGAAAGUGGACUGCAUAAUUUGUAAUAGAAGGGGACUGCUUUCACCCUUUCCCCUC
Talpa occidentalis (Iberian mole) is the source of this 163-nucleotide small nuclear RNA. RefSeq annotates it as U1 spliceosomal RNA. Lineage: Eukaryota; Metazoa; Chordata; Mammalia; Eulipotyphla; Talpidae. The record is from RefSeq and is a predicted model, not a curated record. The transcript has a single exon.